Osmerus eperlanus (European smelt) is the source of this 1355-nucleotide long non-coding RNA. RefSeq lists it as uncharacterized. The record is from RefSeq and is a predicted model, not a curated record. NCBI's taxonomy places the organism in Eukaryota, Metazoa, Chordata, Actinopteri, Osmeriformes, Osmeridae. The transcript is spliced from 2 exons.
GAGCCAGGCUCGCUCUGCUUACUGCGCCCUGAGAGCCAGGCUCGCUCUGCCUACUGCGCCCUGAGAGCCAGGCUCGCUCUGCCUACUGUGCCCUGAGAGCCAGGCUCGCUCUGCCUACUGCGCCCUGAGAGCCAGGCUCGCUCUGCCUACUGUGCCCUGAGAGCCAGACCACUUACUGGUUGACACUGCUGUUCCUGUGUGUGUGUGUGUGUGUGUGUGUGUGUAUGUCCCAGUUCUUCACUGAAUAUGGACCAGACUACUCGCUGGAGGUCAGUCCGAGUUGUCGACCGGACCGCAACGAGACCAAGCACCUGCAACAGGUCAUCUCCACCAUCAAAGGGAAUCUGAAGAAUGUGGUCUAGGAUUUCCAUACAGCCUGGGACUCACCCUUCAUCUCCAAACCAGGUCCACCCACUCUCCUCUCCUCCUCUCCUCCCCUUCUCCUCUCUAUUCUUCUCCUCUUCUCAGUUUCCAUCCAGUGUAAUUUGCUCCAGUACGGUCUCCUUAAUGAGGACAGUAUGUGGACGCAUGCCCGCCCUCUCUCCCUCAGCCUCCUCUUUCUCCUUCCCUCACCCCUCCACCUCCUCGAGGGUGGAGAAAGAGGGAGACAGAGAUGGGAUUAGAGAACGGAGAGAAGAGAGAGAAAAUGGAGAGGAAGAGGAAAAAAGAAUGGAGUGGAAAAGAGCUUUGUGGGAAGACAUGAUCGUUUUUUUCCGGAGAAAUGUCCUUUUGACCUGCUGUUUCAUUUUGGUUUCUGUUUCUUUUCUCGUUUUGACUGUUUUUCUUAGUCUUUUGUCUGUUUUUAUUCGGGGUGGGGUUGCCAUGACGUCAGACUGUGUACUGAAACAUAAGUGUGUGAGAUACAUCUAUAACAGGUGGAGUGAGUGAGCGAGUGAAUGAAUGAAUGAAUGAAUGAGUGAGUGAACCUCCAUGACAACCAGUCAGUCCCUUCCUGAUGAGUUUAGUGUUAGGACCCUAUUUAACAAUGAAACAUGAUUCCUAUUCCAUAGACCUGGCUUUAACGCCACUGUUUCACAUUGAGAUGCAGCCAUUUUUGUGUUUCCCAGGUCCUCAAAAGCCUUCUUUGUUCAUCUCCUUAUGCAGUCAUAAAGGUAGGGAAUGAGGUAAGGGGACUAUUGAAGACUAUUGGAAUGGGGCCCUUAUUCUAUGACAACUUCCUAUCAAGACUGCAUGUUUUAUAUCCAGCAGGAACUUACAGUAUGUGAUGAACAGUGUAACUAAUUUGUGUUAUUGUGCUUUUGGUUUCACAAAAGUAUGUUUUUUUUGUAUGGUUCACGUUUGCCUAUAUGCUAGUGUAAAUAUCACCUUUGUUUGAAUACAAUAUCACAGACGGC